Molecule: ribosomal RNA, 739 nt
Filed under: Escherichia coli
Lineage: Bacteria; Pseudomonadati; Pseudomonadota; Gammaproteobacteria; Enterobacterales; Enterobacteriaceae
Description: partial 23S ribosomal RNA
Rfam family: Bacterial large subunit ribosomal RNA
Source: RNAcentral
CAUCCUCCAAGGCUAAAUACUCCUGACUGACCGAUAGUGAACCAGUACCGUGAGGGAAAGGCGAAAAGAACCCCGGCGAGGGGAGUGAAAAAGAACCUGAAACCGUGUACGUACAAGCAGUGGGAGCACGCUUAGGCGUGUGACUGCGUACCUUUUGUAUAAUGGGUCAGCGACUUAUAUUCUGUAGCAAGGUUAACCGAAUAGGGGAGCCGAAGGGAAACCGAGUCUUAACUGGGCGUUAAGUUGCAGGGUAUAGACCCGAAACCCGGUGAUCUAGCCAUGGGCAGGUUGAAGGUUGGGUAACACUAACUGGAGGACCGAACCGACUAAUGUUGAAAAAUUAGCGGAUGACUUGUGGCUGGGGGUGAAAGGCCAAUCAAACCGGGAGAUAGCUGGUUCUCCCCGAAAGCUAUUUAGGUAGCGCCUCGUGAAUUCAUCUCCGGGGGUAGAGCACUGUUUCGGCAAGGGGGUCAUCCCGACUUACCAACCCGAUGCAAACUGCGAAUACCGGAGAAUGUUAUCACGGGAGACACACGGCGGGUGCUAACGUCCGUCGUGAAGAGGGAAACAACCCAGACCGCCAGCUAAGGUCCCAAAGUCAUGGUUAAGUGGGAAACGAUGUGGGAAGGCCCAGACAGCCAGGAUGUUGGCUUAGAAGCAGCCAUCAUUUAAAGAAAGCGUAAUAGCUCACUGGUCGAGUCGGCCUGCGCGGAAGAUGUAACGGGGCUAAACCAUGCAC